AGCCCGGUGGUGUACACUAACACACUGAAUUGCAAACUCAGAGUGGCAGGCUAGAGACCUGCCCGGACUU
RNAcentral lists this transfer RNA (70 nucleotides) under Bodianus reticulatus (Asian sheepshead wrasse). RNAcentral describes it as "tRNA-Cys". It matches the Rfam family "tRNA". From Rfam's summary of the family: Transfer RNA (tRNA) molecules are approximately 80 nucleotides in length. Their secondary structure includes four short double-helical elements and three loops (D, anti-codon, and T loops). Further hydrogen bonds mediate the characteristic L-shaped molecular structure. tRNAs have two regions of fundamental functional importance: the anti-codon, which is responsible for specific mRNA codon recognition, and the 3' end, to which the tRNAs corresponding amino acid is attached (by aminoacyl-tRNA synthetases). tRNAs cope with the degeneracy of the genetic code in two manners: having more than one tRNA (with a specific anti-codon) for a particular amino acid; and 'wobble' base-pairing, i.e. permitting non-standard base-pairing at the 3rd anti-codon position. Lineage: Eukaryota; Metazoa; Chordata; Actinopteri; Labriformes; Labridae. The record is from RNAcentral.